Molecule: ribosomal RNA, 497 nt
Filed under: uncultured bacterium
Lineage: Bacteria
Description: partial 16S ribosomal RNA
Rfam family: Bacterial small subunit ribosomal RNA
Source: RNAcentral
GGGGGGGGGGGGGGGGGGGGGGGGGGCGGGGGGGUCGGGCGGGCGGGCGGGGCGCGUGGGGCGUGGGGGUUGGCGGCGGCGGGGUGAGUGACGAGUGGAUAACCUACGUAUACGACUGCGGUUACUUCGGGCAACCGGCGCUGAUACCGGAUAAUAUAUUCAACCGCGUGGUUCAGUGGUGAUAGACGGUUUUGAUGUCCCGUAUAGACGGAUCAGCGCGGCAUUAGCUAGUUGGUAAGGUAACGGCUUCCCAAGGCAACGAUGCGUAGCCGACCUGAGAGGGUGAUCGGCCACACUGGAACUGAGACACGGUCCAGACUCCUACGGGAGGCAGCAGUAGGGAAGCUUCCGCAAUGGGCGAAAGCUUGACGGAGCAACGCCGCGUGAGUGAUGAAGGUCUUCGGAUCGUAAAACGCUGUUAGUAGGGAAGAACAAAUGUGUAAGUAACUAUGCACGUCUUGACGGUACCUAAUCAGAAAGCCACGGAUAACUACGUG